This 434-nucleotide ribosomal RNA is filed under the name uncultured bacterium. RNAcentral's name for it is "partial 16S ribosomal RNA". It matches the Rfam family "Bacterial small subunit ribosomal RNA", at positions 29 to 507 of the family's 1533-position model. The record is from RNAcentral.
AGCGAACGCUGGCGGCAGGCCUAACACAUGCAAGUCGAACGAACCUUUCGGGGUUAGUGGCGGACGGGUGAGUAACACGUGGGAACGUGCCUUUAGGUUCGGAAUAACUCAGGGAAACUUGUGCUAAUACCGAAUGUGCCCUUCGGGGGAAAGAUUUAUCGCCUUUAGAGCGGCCCGCGUCUGAUUAGCUAGUUGGUUGAGGUAAUGGCUCACCAAGGCGACGAUCAGUAGCUGGUCUGAGAGGAUGAUCAGCCACAUUGGGACUGAGACACGGCCCAAACUCCUACGGGACGCAGCAGUGGGGAAUCUUGCGCAAUGGGCGAAAGCCUGACGCAGCCAUGCCGCGUGAAUGAUGAAGGUCUUAGGAUUGUAAAAUUCUUUCACCGGAGACGAUAAUGACGGUACCCGGAGAAGAAGCCCCGGCUAACUUCGUG